This 263-nucleotide unclassified non-coding RNA is filed under the name plant metagenome. Its description in RNAcentral is "partial contains small subunit ribosomal RNA, internal transcribed spacer 1, and 5.8S ribosomal RNA". The record is from RNAcentral.
UUUCCGUAGGUGAACCUGCGGAAGGAUCAUUAUGGUAUAACCGAGCUGCGAGGGCUGUCGCUGACCCGAAAGGUCGUGCACGCCCGAGUGCCCUCACACACAUCCAUCUCACCCCUAUGUGCACCACCGCGUGGGUCCCCCUUUGGCUUGUUCGGAGGGGGGCUUACGUUGUCACACAAACUUUGUAUGCAGUGUAGAAUGUAUUUUUUGUUUUUGCGAUCACGCAAUCAAUACAACUUUCAACAACGGAUCUCUUGGCUCUC